This 407-nucleotide long non-coding RNA is filed under the name Oryza brachyantha (malo sina). Its description in RNAcentral is "long non-coding RNA (OBRA_LNC001150)". The record is from RNAcentral. Lineage: Eukaryota; Viridiplantae; Streptophyta; Magnoliopsida; Poales; Poaceae.
GGCCCGCGUCACGGCCGCCGGCGUCAGGGCGCUCGGCCGGACGGCGAGCAGCUGGCCCAUGCAGAGCGGAGCACGCCGCGCGCGGCAGCUGCCCCUGCGGCCAUGCAAGAACCAGCCAAGCCGAGGCACAAAAAAAACCAGAGCACGCACGCACAACCAAAGAAACCCAGCUAACUCACUACAAGCUCUCGACUUGUCCCGGGAAAUGCAGAGAACGGCCAGUGCUCAUAUAUAUAUACAAGAGGAGAAGAAAAAUUACACGAUGAUGUAAUCGAACCAAACGAACCAUGGAAUCUCAUCAAAUAAUUUGGAUUCGUAAUUAACCAGCUACCACCACAGCACGUACUUACCAUUCAACUUAUCAACGCAAGCGUACGUACUCACUCCCAGAAUCUUUGAAUUUUGAG